This 255-nucleotide long non-coding RNA is filed under the name Panax ginseng (ginseng). Its description in RNAcentral is "long non-coding RNA (PGIN_LNC010792)". The record is from RNAcentral. Lineage: Eukaryota; Viridiplantae; Streptophyta; Magnoliopsida; Apiales; Araliaceae.
UAGUUAGGAUUCCUUAAAAAAUAAAGAAUCCACUCCAUGGGAGAAGCUCUUCCCGUAUCAGGCACUAAUAUAUUUUUAACGUCUAAUUAGAUCGGGUAAUCAUUCAAAUUAAGAACAGAAGCUCGUUGCUUUUUUCCCUAUAAUCAAUUAAUUGAAGCCACAAGGCUCUAUCUCUAUCCAUUUAUUCAUUCGACCCAACUUGAAAUUGAAUUCAUUUUUUUGCUCCGUUUCAAAAAAUCAAACAAGGGUUUNNNN